CCUACGGGAGGCAGCAGUGAGGAAUUUUGGUCAAUGGGCGCGAGCCUGACCCAGCCAAGUCGCGUGAGGGCAGCCGGUCCUAUGGAUUGUCAACCUCUUUUGUCGGGGAGCAAAAGACUCCACGCGUUGCGUUCCGAGAGUCCCCUAAGCACACGCAUCGGCUAACUCCGUGCCCGCCGCCGCGGUAAUACGGAGGAUGCGAGCGUUAUCCGGAUUUAGUGGGGUUAAAGGGUGCGCAGGCGGAAGAUCAAGUCAGCGGUAAAAUUGAGAUGCUCAACCUCUUCGAGCCGUUGAAACUGGUUUGCGUGAGUGAGUGAGAAGUAUGCGGAAUGCGUGGUGUAGCGGUGAAAUGCAUAGAUAGCACGCAGAACUGCGAUUGCGAAGGCAGCAUACCGGCGCUCAACUGACGCUCAUGCACGAAAGUGUGGGUAUCGAACAGGAUUAGAUACCCCUGUAGUC
RNAcentral lists this ribosomal RNA (459 nucleotides) under uncultured bacterium. RNAcentral's name for it is "partial 16S ribosomal RNA". It matches the Rfam family "Bacterial small subunit ribosomal RNA", at positions 338 to 795 of the family's 1533-position model. The record is from RNAcentral.